Non-coding RNA from Aphanomyces astaci, 70 nucleotides. Lineage: Eukaryota; Oomycota; Saprolegniomycetes; Saprolegniales; Verrucalvaceae. The record is from Rfam.
GGGAAAAUAGCUCAGUGGUAGAGCAUUGGUUUCUUAACUCAAAUGUCGUGGGUUCGACCCCGGCUUCCCU